CCUACGGGUGGCAGCAGUGAGGAAUAUUGGUCAAUGGGCGGAAGCCUGAACCAGCCAAGUAGCGUGCAGGAUGACUGCCCUACGGGUUGUAAACUGCUUUUAUACGGGAAUAACGCGCCUUACGUGUAGGGCUUUGCAUGUACCCUAUGAAUAAGGACCGGCUAAUUCCGUGCCAGCAGCCGCAGUUAUACGGAAGGUCCGGGCGUUAUCCGGAUUUAUUGGGUUUAAAGGGAGCGUAGGCCGCAUGUCCAGCGUGCUGUGAAAUGUCCGGGCUCAACCCGGGCCUUGCAGCGGUAACUGGCGUGCGUGAGUCCGCGGAAAGCAGGCGGAAUGCGUGGUGUAGCGGUGAAAUGCUUAGAUAUGACGAAGAACCCCGAUUGCGAAGGCAGCUUGCUGCAGCGGAACUGACGCUGAUGCUCGAAAGCGCGGGUAUCGAACAGGAUUAGAUACCCCAGUAGUC
RNAcentral lists this ribosomal RNA (460 nucleotides) under uncultured bacterium. RNAcentral's name for it is "partial 16S ribosomal RNA". It matches the Rfam family "Bacterial small subunit ribosomal RNA", at positions 338 to 795 of the family's 1533-position model. The record is from RNAcentral.